RNAcentral lists this ribosomal RNA (332 nucleotides) under uncultured Pseudomonadota bacterium. RNAcentral describes it as "bacterial SSU rRNA". It matches the Rfam family "Bacterial small subunit ribosomal RNA", at positions 568 to 898 of the family's 1533-position model. The record is from RNAcentral. Lineage: Bacteria; Pseudomonadati; Pseudomonadota.
UGCGCAGGCGGCCGCGCAAGUCGAGUGUGAAAUCCCCGAGCUUAACUUGGGAAUUGCGCUCGAAACUACGUGGCUGGAGUGUGGCAGAGGAAGGUGGAAUUCCACGUGUAGCGGUGAAAUGCGUAGAGAUGUGGAGGAACACCGAUGGCGAAGGCAGCCUUCUGGGCCAACACUGACGCUCAUGCACGAAAGCGUGGGGAGCAAACAGGAUUAGAUACCCUGGUAGUCCACGCCCUAAACGAUGAUGACUAGUUGUUGGAGGAGUUAAAUCCUUUAGUAACGCAGCUAACGCGUGAAGUCAUCCGCCUGGGGAGUACGGUCGCAAGAUUAAA